Molecule: ribosomal RNA, 791 nt
Filed under: uncultured archaeon
Lineage: Archaea
Description: bacterial SSU rRNA
Rfam family: Archaeal small subunit ribosomal RNA
Source: RNAcentral
ACGGCUCAGUAACACGUGGAUAACCUGCCCAAGGGUCUGGGAUAACCCCGGGAAACUGGGGAUAAUACCGGAUGGAUCACUAGUGCUGGAAUGCUUGGUGGUCGAAAGGUAACGCCUUUGGAUGGGUCUGCGGCGGAUUAGGUUGACGCCGGUGUAACGUACCGGCGUGCCUGUAAUCCGUACGGGUUGUGGGAGCAAGAGCCCGGAGAUGGAUUCUGAGACACGAAUCCAGGCCCUACGGGGCGCAGCAGGCGCGAAAACUCUACAAUGCAGGCAACUGCGAUAGGGGGACAUCGAGUGGCAUCCACCUUGGGUGCCUGUCCAACCGUCUAAAAAACGGUUGUUAGCAAGGGCCGGGUAAGACCGGUGCCAGCCGCCGCGGUAAUACCGGCGGCUCGAGUGGUGGCCGAUAUUAUUGAGUCUAAAGGGUCCGUAGCCGGCUUUGCAAGUCCCCUGGGAAAUCCAGCGGCUUAACCGUUGGGCUUUCAUGGGAUACUACAUUGCUUGGGACUGGGAGAGGUAGGAGGUACUCGGGGGGUAGGGGUGAAAUCCUGUAAUCCUCCGGGGACCACCGGUGGCGAAGGCGUCCUACCAGAACAGGUCCGACGGUGAGGGACGAAAGCUAGGGGCACGAACCGGAUUAGAUACCCGGGUAGUCCUAGCCGUAAACGAUGCCCGCUAGGUGUCACGACGGUCGUGAAUCGUCGUGGUGCCGUAGGGAAGCCGCGAAGCGGGCCACUUGGGAAGUACGGCCGCAAGGCUGAAACUUAAAGGAAUUGGCGGGGGAGCAC